RNAcentral lists this long non-coding RNA (817 nucleotides) under Elaeis guineensis (African oil palm). RNAcentral's name for it is "long non-coding RNA (EGUI_LNC031128)". The record is from RNAcentral. Lineage: Eukaryota; Viridiplantae; Streptophyta; Magnoliopsida; Arecales; Arecaceae.
CCCUUCAUAUUUUCUUUUAUGGUGAGUUGUGGUAGCGGGGUUGGGGCUAAAGCCUCAACAAGCAAUUGGGGUCUUCAGUCAUUUGAUGCUGCAGCCAUGCUCGAGGUUCCACCUCGAGACUUUAUCAUGGUAAGCUCUUCAUCACAGUUCAAGCCUCCCAAAUCCUGAUGCUCUAAUAGUUCAGUUCAUGGAUUCAAGAUGUUCUUUGGGCCAACAAAUAAGAAGUCUUCUAUGGCUAAGCCCGAUCUAGAAAGGCUUCAAUCUAGAGUACUUUAUUUCACCUCGGCACUACUUGGAGGUCCCUAAUCAGGGUGACUAGUUCACCAAGCUCCUAAUGGAUGCCUUGGGAUAUACAAGGAGUCCCUUCAAGUUGGCCUUCAUUUUCCUCUUCAUCAUUUCAUUUAUAUUCUUCUUGAUUUCUACAAAAUAGUCCCAACUCAUCUUGCCCCAAAUUCCUUCUACAUCAUACGUAUCUUUGUUAGCAUGUGUGAUCUCCUCGGCAUUGGGCCGAUGUAUUCCCUCUUCCAAGCCUUGUUUAUCCUAAAAAGGCACAUUUAUGAGAGAGGCUGGUGGUACUUCUCUCUCUGAGUUGGCCCAUUCAUUCGAGGGUAGCCUUCUUCAGUACAUGGCUGGAAGAAUUGAUUUUUCUUUGUUCCUUCUAAUCAACCCUGAGGUUUCAACUGAGUUUGGGGCGAGCCUAGGUUGAUAUCAAAUAAGAACCCUAAUCCUAAUCCCAAGGAUAAGGAUGAUUUUUAAUACACUACAUGAAGUUGAAGUGCAACCAAAGCAAGAGUUAUUGACCAAGCAAAUGCUAUAU